GUCGGGAUAGCUCAACCGGUUAGAGUAUGUGCUUGAAAAGCUCACCGUGCGAGUUCAAGUCUCGCUCCCGACA
This 73-nucleotide transfer RNA is filed under the name Protostelium mycophagum. Its description in RNAcentral is "tRNA-Phe". It matches the Rfam family "tRNA". Rfam says of the family: Transfer RNA (tRNA) molecules are approximately 80 nucleotides in length. Their secondary structure includes four short double-helical elements and three loops (D, anti-codon, and T loops). The record is from RNAcentral. Lineage: Eukaryota; Evosea; Variosea; Protosteliida; Protosteliaceae.